GACGAACCGUACGAACGUUAUUCGGAAUCACUGGGCUUAAAGGGUGCGUAGGCUGCGCAGCAAGUUGGGUGUGAAAUCCCUCGGCUUAACCGAGGAACUGCGCCCAAAACUGCUGUGCUCGAGGGAGACAGAGGUGAGCGGAACUUAGGGUGGAGCGGUGAAAUGCGUUGAUAUCCUAAGGAACACCGGUGGCGAAAGCGGCUCACUGGGUCUAUUCUGACGCUGAGGCACGAAAGCUAGGGGAGCGAACGGG
RNAcentral lists this ribosomal RNA (253 nucleotides) under uncultured bacterium. RNAcentral's name for it is "partial 16S ribosomal RNA". It matches the Rfam family "Bacterial small subunit ribosomal RNA", at positions 524 to 776 of the family's 1533-position model. The record is from RNAcentral.